AAGAGGGAUAGAUCACCGGACACUGACUCUGCUGUUGCCUCAUUCUUGGACUUCCCAGUUUCCAGAAUUGUGAGUAAUAAAUGUAUCCUGUUUAUAAGUUACCUGAUCUAGGUGUUUUGUUAUAGUAGCCCUAAGAAACUAAAACAAACAUGUAGGUGUUUCUGCAGCUGCUUUCACAAGUGAGGAAGAAGUGAAGGAUUCUAAAGCCCCAGUAGUGUUUGGAAAAGUAAGAGAAAUAUCUGGAUUUGGACAUGAGAAUGAGAAGGUCAAGUUCAGGGACUAAGCAGCAUUUUGCAGCGCAUUCCUUCAAAGAUUGAAGUUUGUGUGGAGAGUCACUCAUUAAAUAAGGAGUCCAAGGCUGCUGAACUCCUUGGGAGGAUGAGCGAGGUUCACUUGCUGACCUUUGACAUAUACAAGCACCUCUACAUCUCCAUGUAUGUUCAAUGAGGUUCCCAGAAGAGAAAAAACAAACCUGGAGCUAAAGAAAUCAUUUCACUGUAAACGGCUGCUGGAAUGACAGGAUUUGGAGGGGAAAUGAGGACACAGAGAGAGACACACUAGGGAUGCACAGGCACAGAGGAGAAACGCUGUGAGGAUGCAGUGAGCAGGUGACCAUCUACAAGCCAAGGACAGAAGCCUCAGGGGAAACCAAACAUGCUUUUUUCUCGGACUUCUAGCCUCCAGAACCACGAGAAGUAAGUUUCUGCUUUUUGAGAUGGAGUCUCACUCUGUAGCCAAGGCUGGAGUGCAUCUCUGGUGUGAUCUCGGCUCACUGCAACCUUCACCUCCCGGGUU
This 795-nucleotide long non-coding RNA is filed under the name Homo sapiens (human). RNAcentral's name for it is "HSALNT0089002". Lineage: Eukaryota; Metazoa; Chordata; Mammalia; Primates; Hominidae. The record is from RNAcentral.